GCCGUAGUAGCUUAAACAAAGCCUUGGUCUUGUAAACCAAAGAUGGGGAUACUUCCCUCCCCCUAAGGCA
This 70-nucleotide transfer RNA is filed under the name Gambelia wislizenii (Longnose leopard lizard). RNAcentral describes it as "tRNA-Thr". It matches the Rfam family "tRNA". Rfam says of the family: Transfer RNA (tRNA) molecules are approximately 80 nucleotides in length. The record is from RNAcentral. Lineage: Eukaryota; Metazoa; Chordata; Lepidosauria; Squamata; Crotaphytidae.